UAGGGAACCUUCGGCAAUGGGGGCAACCCUGACCGAGCAACGCCGCGUGAGUGAAGAAGGUUUUCGGAUCGUAAAGCUCUGUUGUAAGAGAAGAACGUGUGUGAGAGUGGAAAGUUCACACAGUGACGGUAACUUACCAGAAAGGGACGGCUAACUACGUGCCAC
This 165-nucleotide ribosomal RNA is filed under the name uncultured bacterium. Its description in RNAcentral is "partial 16S rRNA". It matches the Rfam family "Bacterial small subunit ribosomal RNA", at positions 355 to 511 of the family's 1533-position model. The record is from RNAcentral.